AGGAUUAGAUACCCUAGUAUAUAAUUUUGUAAAAUUAGUAAAUGUGAAAAUUAAAAAUUUUGGCGGUUAAUUUAUAGUUUGGAGGAGCUUGUUUGUGUUAAGAAUUUACUCUUUAUAUUUAAUUGUAUUAUUUAGUUUAUUCAUUUCUGUUAUUAAAUGAAAUUGAAGAUAGUAGGCUAUAUAAUUCAGGUCAAUAUGUAGCAUAAUACUAUAAUAAUUAGCUACAAUUAUGGGAGAAUGGACUUAGAUUUGUAUUUUUUAAUUAAAUUGAAUUUAGAUGUAAUAGUAUUUAAUAUGAUAUUAUGAUUUUAUAUAUUUAAUGUAUAUAUUGCCCGUCACUUCUAUAUUUAGCAUAGAAUAAGUCGUAACAAAGUA
RNAcentral lists this ribosomal RNA (375 nucleotides) under Discocyrtanus oliverioi. RNAcentral describes it as "partial small subunit ribosomal RNA". The record is from RNAcentral. Lineage: Eukaryota; Metazoa; Arthropoda; Arachnida; Opiliones; Gonyleptidae.